This 496-nucleotide ribosomal RNA is filed under the name uncultured bacterium. RNAcentral's name for it is "bacterial SSU rRNA". It matches the Rfam family "Bacterial small subunit ribosomal RNA", at positions 30 to 504 of the family's 1533-position model. The record is from RNAcentral.
CGAACGCUGGCGGCGUGGAUUAGGCAUGCAAGUCGAACGAUCUCUUUCGCAAGAGGGGGAUAGUGGCAAACGGGUGAGUAACGCGUGGGUAAUAUUCCUUUGAGUUUGGAAUAACUUGCCGAAAGGCGAACUAAUACCAAAUAAGACCACGGUCUAUCAAGGACAGUGGUUAAAGGCGGGGAUCCUGAAAAUGGACCCGUCGCUCAUUGAUUAGCCCGCGUCCUAUCAGCUUGUUGGUGGGGUAAAAGCCCACCAAGGCGAUGACGGGUAGCUGGUCUGAGAGGAUGGUCAGCCACACUGGGACUGAGACACUGCCCAGACUCCUACGGGAGGCUGCAGUCGAGAAUCUUUUGCAAUGCCCGAAAGGGUGACAAUGCGACGCCGCGUGAGCGAUGAAGGCCUUCGGGUUGUAAAGCUCUGUCAGCUUGGAUGAAAGUGUUAUGGUUAAUACCCAUAACAUUUGACGGUACAGGCAAAGGAAGCCACGGCUAACUCC